This 471-nucleotide long non-coding RNA is filed under the name Bos taurus (domestic cattle). RNAcentral describes it as "long non-coding RNA NONBTAT008364". Lineage: Eukaryota; Metazoa; Chordata; Mammalia; Artiodactyla; Bovidae. The record is from RNAcentral.
CUUUCUCUACUGGAGGACCAUCAGCUAAAUAGCUCUUGGCUUCUCUUUUCCAAUCAGGUGGUUUCACAUCAGAGUUAAUUACUCCAGUCAUUUAUUCUAAUCACCCUCCUCUUAUGGCUAGCUGCAUUCUGUCAUGGGGUGGCAUCGUUUGAAGCCAGUUAAGUUUGAAAACCACUGCAGGGUACUUGAGGCUCAUUAGUGAGGCCUAUCCAUGCCUGGCUUUGGAUUUGCUCCCUGAUUAACUCUGGAUCUCUCUGCCUAGCGCCCUCCUCCCGCCAGCCCCCAGCCCCGACUCGUCAAUGCGGUUGCUCCAGAGAGGAAUGUUUCAAUUAACUCUUGCCUUGCUGUUUGUCUUUUCACCUGCAUAUUUAAGGAAAAUCUCAAUGCUUAUAUCACUAAUACAUAUUUCAUAGAUUCUGACCUUAUAACUGUAUCCUUUGAGUUUAACUGCAAUGGUAGACAUUCUAUAAA